Molecule: non-coding RNA, 93 nt
Organism: Amniculicola lignicola CBS 123094
Lineage: Eukaryota; Fungi; Ascomycota; Dothideomycetes; Pleosporales; Amniculicolaceae
Source: the annotation of a GenBank genome assembly
GGCAACUUGGCCGAGCGGUUAUGGCGCCAGCUUCAGGUUCUUCGGAAUGUGCUGGUAUCGAAAGAUUCGCGAGUUCGAGUCUCGCAGUUGUCA